AUGCCCCACCUUCUUCCCUGGCUCCGGCCGCCGCCCCGUGCCCCACCUUCUCCCAUGGAAGCAGUCGCCACCCCUCCCCCACUAUCUCAUGCGCCCUGGGCCGCUCACCAUCCCCCAUCCUCAGCGCGCCGGCCGCCACCAUCCCCAGCGUGCCAACCUCCAGUUCUUCACCUGCCCCAUCGUGACGCCGCCCAAUCUUCUUCCUCCUGGAUUCUCCUAGCCAUGGCGAGCGCCACCUCCCUACACCAAGCUCGCUCUAGACUACGCAGAGCCGCCAACCCCCACCACCUCUCGUGCAGUACAACCCCGCCCAUGUACGAGGUUCAAAGACCUUGCAGAGAGAAGGAAAGGAGAUGUUAA
This 360-nucleotide ribosomal RNA is filed under the name Triticum aestivum (bread wheat). Its description in RNAcentral is "partial small subunit ribosomal RNA". The record is from RNAcentral. Lineage: Eukaryota; Viridiplantae; Streptophyta; Magnoliopsida; Poales; Poaceae.